UCAUACGUAGGACCCAAGCGUUAUCCGGAAUUACUGGGCGUAAAGAGUUGCGUAGGUGGCAUAAUAAGUGAAGCGUGAAAGCGUGCGGCUCAACCGCAUAUCCGCGUUUCAAACUAUUAAGCUUGAGUAUAAGAGAGGUAGAUGGAAUUUCUAGUGUAGGAGUGAAAUCCGUAGAUAUUAGAAGGAACACCGAUGGCGUAGGCAGUCUACUGGCUUAUUACUGACACUAAGGCACGAAAGCGUGGGGAGCGAACAGG
RNAcentral lists this ribosomal RNA (257 nucleotides) under uncultured bacterium. RNAcentral describes it as "partial 16S ribosomal RNA". It matches the Rfam family "Bacterial small subunit ribosomal RNA", at positions 521 to 776 of the family's 1533-position model. The record is from RNAcentral.